UACGUAGGGGGCAAGCGUUGUCCGGAAUCAUUGGGCGUAAAGAGCGUGUAGGCGGCCAGGUAGGUCUGCUGUGAAAACUCGAGGCUUAACCUCGAGAUGUCAUCGGAAACCAUCUGGCUAGAGUCCGGAAGAGGAGAGUGGAAUUCCUGGUGUAGCGGUGAAAUGCGCAGAUAUCAGGAAGAACACCAAUGGCGAAAGCAGCUCUCUGGGACGGUACUGACGCUGAGACGCGAAAGCGUGGGGAGCGAACAGG
This 253-nucleotide ribosomal RNA is filed under the name uncultured bacterium. RNAcentral describes it as "partial 16S ribosomal RNA". It matches the Rfam family "Bacterial small subunit ribosomal RNA", at positions 524 to 776 of the family's 1533-position model. The record is from RNAcentral.